This 1279-nucleotide long non-coding RNA is filed under the name Vitis vinifera (wine grape). RNAcentral's name for it is "long non-coding RNA (VVIN_LNC001717)". The record is from RNAcentral. Lineage: Eukaryota; Viridiplantae; Streptophyta; Magnoliopsida; Vitales; Vitaceae.
AACCUGGUUUAUAUGGUUCAAUCGUAGCUCUUUCUCGGCAGAAUAAGGCAACAGGGUAUGAUCCAGCAGCAGCACUCCGGAUAAGGGAGCAUAUGAGAGAUGAUGAUGAUGCAGAUGAAACAAUGUAUGAGAUGGCUGUACAUAGAGAUCGAAAUGUCUCACGAGGUGGUGUAAAAUUGGGAAAGAAGCUUGAAUUUUUAAGAGGUGAUGAAUUUGGAACUGAUAGUUUCGAGGGUUUCCCUCUGCCUCUAAAGAAUGAUUUACAUGCCUAUGGAAAGAACAGGAAUGUGAAGCAGAUGUCAGAUAUUAAGGGCUUGGCAACUAAGUCAUCCAGUGCUAGAACUUCUAACAAUUAUGGCAAAAGGAUCAAGUACCAUGAGAGUGUUCAGCAAUCUGAAGUUGAAGAUCAGAUGAAGUCUGCAAAAGGUCGAGCUUCAUAUCUGUCACUAAAAGAACAUCGAGUUGACUUGGCGGAUCGUGCUGAGCCUUUUUGGCAUAACAGAACCCAAGUAGAGGCCUUUUCUGUGGACCCAUCCUUUAAAUAUGAUGAUUGGAAUGCUAGAAGCAAGAAAUGGAAGACGGGGAGGGAAUCUCCUGAUGUCAAAAUUAAAUCUUAUAGAACAGCGUCUCCCCAGAUGAGUGAUAGAUUGCUUCAUUCAGAGUAUAGAACAAAACCAUCAGAGGAGAAGAUCAGAGGGAGUUCUUCACAGAAUGGAGGAUCAAAUGUGGCAGCACUGAAGGGUGUUAGAAUGUUUGUAAAAAGUGAGGAGACAGAAUCUGACUCAUCGGAGCAAGUUGAUGAAGAAGCAGAUAACGACCCUUUGAUGAGGAGCAAGCUGGCUUACCCCACUGGUGUCCUGGAAGGCAGUCGGACCUCUUUUGUGAAAUCUGGUCUAGAUCCUAAAAAGGUCAAAUUUAUUAAUAAAAAUAAGAAGGAGAGCACUCGGGCUCUGGAUGGAAUCAUACGCUCCACAAAGAAGAUGGGUGACCUUGGUGAACAUUUGAGAAUAUCAGAAGUAGAAAGCUACUCUUCAAAAGUAAAGCAGAAGGGUAAGAUGCGUGAUACCAGUCACUUGCAUAGCUCUGAAGCUAGAUUGGAAGACAGCUAUUUCUCUGGCUCUGGACAAUUAAAUGAUGAUGAUGAUAGGAAACAAACACACAAAUUGGGGAAGAGUGGCCAUAUCCGAGCGGAAACUGGUGAAAGGUUACACAUGUCCUCAUCAAAGGCCUAUUCUGCAGAGAGAAGGCAGAAAUUGGAAGUUGACUAUGAAUACCCUGC